UACUAGAGUAGCACUCGCAUAUCAAUAAGCGGAGGAAAAGAAACUAACAAGGAUUCCCCUAGUAACGGCGAGUGAAGCGGGAAGAGCUCAAAUUUGAAAUCUUAAAGGGUUUCCCUUUACGAAUUGUAGUUUAAAGAAGUGUUUUCUGUUGAGGUUUUGGUAAAAGUUCUUUGGAAUAGGACAUCAUAGAGGGUGAGAAUCCCGUAUUUGACCUUUACUUUCAACUUUGUGAUACACUUUCAAAGAGUCGGAUUGUUUGGGAAUGCAGUCCAAAAUGGGUGGUAAAUUUCAUCUAAAGCUAAAUAUUGGCGAGAGACCGAUAGCGAACAAGUACCGUGAGGGAAAGAUGAAAAGAGCUUUGAAAAGAGAGUUAAACAGUACGUGAAAUUGUCAAAAGGGAAGCGUUCGACACCAGUGUUGUUUUUCUGAAAAUCAAUUAAAGAACUGUUUAUGCUAAGUUGUUUAGACUUUAUCAGCUAACUGUUUAGUUUUGAGCUUUUCUUUAAUGCACUUUUCAGUUAACAAGUCAACAUCAAUUUCUUUUGCUGUAAAAAAGCUUGAGGAAGGUGGCUUGAGAUUCGUCUUAAGUGUUUAUAGCCUCUUGCCUAUGCAGUCGGAGAGAUUGAGGUCUGCAGCGUAGAUCCUUCGGGGCUAAAUGCAUUUGUGCUAAGUUAUAGCAUUUUAUAGACAACUUGUUGACUAUGAUUUGUCUUGUAGCUUACUCGCUUAUGUUAUUUUACCUACGCUUAGGAUGUUGAGCGCAUGUCUCUCUCU
This 774-nucleotide ribosomal RNA is filed under the name uncultured Neocallimastigales. RNAcentral describes it as "partial large subunit ribosomal RNA". It matches the Rfam family "Eukaryotic large subunit ribosomal RNA", at positions 20 to 616 of the family's 3401-position model. The record is from RNAcentral. Lineage: Eukaryota; Fungi; Neocallimastigomycota; Neocallimastigomycetes; Neocallimastigales.